GAACCUACCGGUCUCCGAAUGCAUCUAGAUGUUUAAUUUGAUCAUGGCUCAGAUUGCACGCUGGNUNGCAGGCCUAACACAUGCAAGUCGAGCGGCAGCACAAGGGAGUUUACUCCUGAGGUGGCGAGCGGCGGACGGGUGAGUAAUGCCUAGGGAUCUGCCCAGUCGAGGGGGAUAACAGUUGGAAACGACUGCUAAUACCGCAUACGCCCUACGGGGGAAAGAGGGGGACCUUCGGGCCUCUCGCGAUUGGAUGAACCUAGGUGGGAUUAGCUAGUUGGUGAGGUAAUGGCUCACCAAGGCGACGAUCCCUAGCUGUUCUGAGAGGAUGAUCAGCCACACUGGGACUGAGACACGGCCCAGACUCCUACGGGAGGCAGCAGUGGGGAAUAUUGCACAAUGGGGGAAACCCCGAUGCAGCCAUGCCGCGUGUGUGAAGAAGGCCUUCGGGUUGUAAAGCACUUUCAGUAGGGAGGAAAGGGUGAGUCUUAAUACGGCUCAUCUGUGACGUUACCUACAGAAGAAGGACCGGCUAACUCCGUGCCAGCAGCCGCGGUAAUACGGAGAGUCCGAGCGUUAAAUCCGGAAUUACUUGGGCGUAAAGCGUGCGCAGGCGCGUUAGUAAAGCGAGAUGUGAAAAGCCCCUGANGGCUUCAACCCUAGGAAUAGGCAAUUUUCGAAGCCUUGGCGGAACUAGAAGUCUUGCUACACGGGGGGGUAGCAAUCCACGGUG
Molecule: ribosomal RNA, 733 nt
Filed under: uncultured bacterium
Lineage: Bacteria
Description: bacterial SSU rRNA
Rfam family: Bacterial small subunit ribosomal RNA
Source: RNAcentral